AUUUGGCUCUUUAUUUUUAAUAAUAAAAAUUUAAAAUUUAUUAUUGCUACUGCAGGCUAUUGGUCUUUGUAUGCCAACUGCUUGUUGCUGCUUUAUUACAUGGAUGCCCCUAGUGGGGUUACUUCUAAUAAAAUAGCAUUCAUGAUAUAGUGGGAAAUGUAAGGUGUCUGAUUUGUUGUGAGAAGCUUAUUGAAUCAGGGACUGGUCCUGACCUAUUUUUAUGGGCGGUUUGUUACCAACCGGUACAAGAAGUCUAGCCCAUGAUGUCAUCACGGUAUAGCAAGUGGAUGCAAUGAUCAAAUAAGUAUUUGAUCUGUUGACCAGGGCAGAUGUCAUGGUCCAGUGGCUCAACAGGCUUAUCGCCAAAUGGGUUUUCAGGGAGCUGAACCAUUUUGGCUGCUGGUUCCAAUCCUGAUCAAGAUCACUCAAGAGUGGAAGAAGAAGCGUAUGAGGAGGCUGAAGAGAAAGCGUCGAAAGAUGAGGUAGAGAUCCAAGUAGAGAGUCUUGACAGACAAAUGGUGGGUCAGGUAUCUCUCCGACUAGACCCUCAUCAUCCUGCCAAUUUGUGGUUAGGUAGAGAUUUUUGCUUAUUCCCACUUACCUAUCAUUGGGUUUUGAGGAUACUCGAGGAGAUCUACCUAGAAACCAUAUGGUCUGUUUUUAGUUUCAUGUUUUGCAGUUUUAGAUUCAGACUUUGUACUGGUGUAGCUGGUCGAUCAGUUGUUGUUUGGACCCCUUAAAGAGAUUCUUGGAGUUAAUAUCACCUCUUGUGGGGUGGCUAUCUUUCUUUUUGAAGUUUGUUA
Magnolia sinica is the source of this 803-nucleotide long non-coding RNA. RefSeq lists it as uncharacterized. The transcript is spliced from 2 exons. The record is from RefSeq and is a predicted model, not a curated record. NCBI's taxonomy places the organism in Eukaryota, Viridiplantae, Streptophyta, Magnoliopsida, Magnoliales, Magnoliaceae.